UACGUAGGGUGCAAGCGUUGUCCGGAAUUAUUGGGCGUAAAGAGCUCGUAGGCGGUUUGUCGCGUCUGCUGUGAAAACCCAGGGCUCAACCCUGGGCUUGCAGUGGAUACGGGCAGACUAGAGGUAGGUAGGGGAGAAUGGAAUUCCCGGUGUAGCGGUGAAAUGCGCAGAUAUCGGGAGGAACACCGGUGGCGAAGGCGGUUCUCUGGGCCUUACCUGACGCUGAGGAGCGAAAGCGUGGGGAGCGAACAGG
RNAcentral lists this ribosomal RNA (253 nucleotides) under uncultured bacterium. RNAcentral's name for it is "partial 16S ribosomal RNA". It matches the Rfam family "Bacterial small subunit ribosomal RNA", at positions 524 to 776 of the family's 1533-position model. The record is from RNAcentral.